CCUACGGGUGGCUGCAGUGGGGAAUAUUGCACAAUGGGCGCAAGCCUGAUGCAGCCAUGCCGCGUGUGUGAAGAAGGCCUUCGGGUUGUAAAGCACUUUCAGCGGGGAGGAAGGCGUUAAGGUUAAUAACCUUGUCGAUUGACGUUACCCGCAGAAGAAGCACCGGCUAACUCCGUGCCAGCAGCCGCGGUAGUACGGAGGGUGCAAGCGUUAAUCGGAAUUACUGGGCGUAAAGCGCACGCAGGCGGUCUGUCAAGUCGGAUGUGAAAUCCCCGGGCUCAACCUGGGAACUGCAUUCGAAACUGGCAGGCGAGAGGCUUGUAGAGGGGGGUAGAAUUCCAGGUGUAGCGGUGAAAUGCGUAGAGAUCUGGAGGAAUACCGGUGGCGAAGGCGGCCCCCUGGACAAAGACUGACUCUCAGGUGCGAAAGCGUGGGGAGCAAACAGGAUUAGAUACCCGAGUAGUC
Molecule: ribosomal RNA, 465 nt
Filed under: uncultured Klebsiella sp.
Lineage: Bacteria; Pseudomonadati; Pseudomonadota; Gammaproteobacteria; Enterobacterales; Enterobacteriaceae
Description: bacterial SSU rRNA
Rfam family: Bacterial small subunit ribosomal RNA
Source: RNAcentral